RNAcentral lists this ribosomal RNA (484 nucleotides) under uncultured bacterium. RNAcentral describes it as "partial 16S ribosomal RNA". It matches the Rfam family "Bacterial small subunit ribosomal RNA", at positions 30 to 507 of the family's 1533-position model. The record is from RNAcentral.
AUUGAACGCUGGCGGCAUGCUUUAUACAUGCAAGUCGAACGGCAGCGCGGGCUUCUGCCUCGCGUCGCGUGGCGAACGGGCGAGUAAUACAUCGGAACGUGCCCAGUAUUGGGGGAUAGCUUGGCGAAAGCCGGACUAAUAUCGCAUCCGAUCUGAGGGUGAAACGCGUGGAUCUUCGGACCACGCCCUUUUGGCGCGCCCGAUGGCUGAUUAGCUAGUUGGUGGGGUAACGGCUUACCAAGGCAACGAUCCGUAGCUGGUCUGAGAGGACGACCAGCCACACUGGAACUGAGACACGGCCCAGACUCCUACGGGAGGCAGCAGUGGGGAAUUUUCGACAAUGGGCGAAAGCCUGACCCAGCAAUGCCGCGUGAGUGAUGAAGGUCUUCGGAUUGUAAAACUCUGUUGUCGGGAACGAAAAGAUCUGUGCCAAAACCACGACUCGUUGACGGUACCCGCAGAGUAAGCACCGGCUAACUACGUG